GAGAUGGUCACCCCGAGCCUAGUUAGUGGGAGUUGAAUGGAUCGAGCCUUUCUGGAGAGCAUCAGGACUCAGCAAUUCUAUAUUUAGGAAUUUGCCAUAAGGAGCUGUUUGGACGGCUCUACCAAGGUGUAUGACCACAGAGUCCACCAGCUUAAAUAUCCCUCCGUAGGUCAUGGGGCACAGUGAAUAGUAGUUGCUGUGACCUGGGUUUUCAAUUAUAUAUAUUUAGAUAUGUGCCCUUUUUUUUUUUUUUUUAGAUAUGUGCCCUUUUAAAAAUGUCUGGAAGGGUGUGUACCAAAGCAAGAAGACUGGAAGUGUUCUCUCAGUAGGGCUCCAGAGAGAAGUUUUCCGUUUAACUUGCCUGCACCUCAAUCUGCUCAUUCUAGAAACCCCUUUGUGUUCAGGAGUGGGAGCUGGCGAGGCAGGCUUCCUGGAGGGAGGUGGUGGGAGACAGCGUUUGACUGUCUGGGAUGGAUGAUUGGGAGGGGCAGGUGACAGUAUUAGCUAAAAUUUGUCCUCUGGGUUCCCCCUCUUGGCCCAGAAGGGUUGGUAUCUAUGUGGGUAGUGAAGACUUUUCUUUCCUCCCGUGCUUUAAUUUCAGACCCCGACUUUGCCAAGCUGUCUGCAUGUUAACACAGGCCUGCUCCGGACAUUUGUCUGGGACUAGCAUAUUGAACCCACUGCCCAUUGUGGGACAGAAGAGAAUUGCGAGAAUGUGACCGGGGCACCAAAACAUCUGGUAUUUGUAGGGCUUUA
RNAcentral lists this long non-coding RNA (756 nucleotides) under Bos taurus (domestic cattle). RNAcentral's name for it is "long non-coding RNA NONBTAT009486". The record is from RNAcentral. Lineage: Eukaryota; Metazoa; Chordata; Mammalia; Artiodactyla; Bovidae.